Lates calcarifer (barramundi perch) is the source of this 1346-nucleotide long non-coding RNA. RefSeq lists it as uncharacterized. The transcript is spliced from 3 exons. The record is from RefSeq and is a predicted model, not a curated record. Lineage: Eukaryota; Metazoa; Chordata; Actinopteri; Centropomidae.
ACAGAGGGAGAUAAGUAUGGACAGUCAGGCUACAACAUGUAAACAGUCAGUCAUCCACUUAGUUAUUUAUGGCCUUUUUCCACUGGCUCAGUGUAGCAUGCUUUGGCCUUAUAGUGUCAUUCCAAGCAUGCACAUAGGAGUGUAUUUUCAGUAGGCGCCCCUGGUGUUGGGACUAAUAAUACAGCAGGAUAAACAAUAUGGUUCGCAUGACCUGCAACAAGCUCAGCUUCUGACAAAAAAAGUCAUCAAUACAUAACAGACUGCCAUAACAGAUUACCACUAACUGUGUGGUGUUUUUUUUAUUCAGCAUGUUGUAGUGAUGCGUCUUGUCUGUCCUCCAAAUCAGCACUUAUUAGUACUCUCUCUUUCUAUCUCCUUACCUCCAUACACUAACAGAGGGUUAGUUGCUGAUAUGGUUUCAAGUAAAUAUGCACCUGGGAUAACAAAUGUAGCCUGAUCACCACUGGACACUUUGUCACUUAUUUAGACUAUUUAAAGUGAGGAAGUGUGUUAUUUUAUGUGCAUUUCUGUAACAUUAAUUUGAGAGGUGAGCUGACCAUCGCAAAGCGAUCAUGAUCAGGUUAGAUGUCAUAAAUUGUCCAUUUAUUCUUAAAAUUUGCCAUAUUUGUCAUACUUUGAACCACAACAGAAUAAUGUAUCCACUAGCACUUGAACAGAACCUGUUAAAAUUAUUGGUUUCAUGGAUUAAUUGUAAAUGAUAUUUGCACUGUGUUUCAUCCUGGCCAUCAGGGGUGCUGCAGUGCUAACAGCACCACCCCUUACCAUUGUAAUAGUUUCAAGCCAAGUACUCUGACAAAAACCACAAAUUAGUCUUGUAUUUAGACUGUGUGGAGAAAUUCAAAAUCUCCUGGAAGAAAACAUGAAUGUUUUUAGGCCAAUUUAGACCAAGGUAGUGGUGCACUUCAGCCCCUUGAGGCCAAAAUGGGUAUUCCAACUUAUAACAACAAAGGCUUUGCUACCAAGAGGUCAGUUGUCAGGAAAAUGAAAAUAUCGUUUGUUCUAAGUAUUUGAACCAACAGUCAAAGCUGUUGUUUAUCUGCUGAGAACAUCGUUUGACAUGUGAUCAUAUACGUUUCAGCUUUGACCUAAAACCACCAUGACCCCUGUGACAUGAUGGUCCAUCAAACCAGCUGGUCAGACUGAUGAGUCAUGCAGCCUCGUUGCUCCUCUCUUAAGGUAUUUCUGGUUACAGUAGAUGGAGAGGUACAGGUGAUGCCUAUUGCUGUUUGUGCAAACCAGAAAAUGUCUCACAAGUUCUCAAGCCAGGUCCAGGAUGCAGCCUGACUGUCUGAGCCUGAGUGUGCGUUGACAGCUGGUAGGUACCC